This 1162-nucleotide ribosomal RNA is filed under the name Nostoc cf. lichenoides JT2-VF1. RNAcentral describes it as "bacterial SSU rRNA". It matches the Rfam family "Bacterial small subunit ribosomal RNA", at positions 356 to 1532 of the family's 1533-position model. The record is from RNAcentral. Lineage: Bacteria; Bacillati; Cyanobacteriota; Cyanophyceae; Nostocales; Nostocaceae.
GGGGAAUUUUCCGCAAUGGGCGAAAGCCUGACGGAGCAAUACCGCGUGAGGGAGGAAGGCUCUUGGGUCGUAAACCUCUUUUCUCAGGGAAGAACACAAUGACGGUACCUGAGGAAUAAGCAUCGGCUAACUCCGUGCCAGCAGCCGCGGUAAUACGGAGGAUGCAAGCGUUAUCCGGAAUGAUUGGGCGUAAAGCGUCCGCAGGUGGCUGUGUAAGUCUGCUGUUAAAGAGUCUAGCUCAACUAGAUACAAGCAGUGGAAACUACACGGCUAGGGUACGUUCGGGGCAGAGGGAAUUCCUGGUGUAGCGGUGAAAUGCGUAGAGAUCAGGAAGAACACCAGUGGCGAAGGCGCUCUGCUAGGCCGAAACUGACACUGAGGGACGAAAGCUAGGGGAGCGAAUGGGAUUAGAUACCCCAGUAGUCCUAGCCGUAAACGAUGGAUACUAGGCGUGGCUUGUAUCGACCCGAGCCGUGCCGUAGCUAACGCGUUAAGUAUCCCGCCUGGGGAGUACGCCGGCAACGGUGAAACUCAAAGGAAUUGACGGGGGCCCGCACAAGCGGUGGAGUAUGUGGUUUAAUUCGAUGCAACGCGAAGAACCUUACCAAGGCUUGACAUGUCGCGAAUCUUGAUGAAAGUUGAGAGUGCCUUCGGGAGCGCGAACACAGGUGGUGCAUGGCUGUCGUCAGCUCGUGUCGUGAGAUGUUGGGUUAAGUCCCGCAACGAGCGCAACCCUCGUUUUUAGUUGCCAGCAUUAAGUUGGGCACUCUAGAGAGACUGCCGGUGACAAACCGGAGGAAGGUGGGGAUGACGUCAAGUCAGCAUGCCCCUUACGCCUUGGGCUACACACGUACUACAAUGCUCCGGACAGAGGGCAGCAAGCAUGCGAAUGCAAGCAAAUCCCGUAGACCGGAGCUCAGUUCAGAUCGCAGGCUGCAACUCGCCUGCGUGAAGGAGGAAUCGCUAGUAAUUGCAGGUCAGCAUACUGCAGUGAAUUCGUUCCCGGGCCUUGUACACACCGCCCGUCACACCAUGGAAGCUGGUAGUGCCCGAAGUCAUUACUCCAACCUUUCGGGGAGGGGGAUGCCUAAGGCAGGACUGGUGACUGGGGUGAAGUCGUAACAAGUAGCCGUACCGGAAGGUGUGGCUGGAUCACCUCCUU